AGACUGACGCUCAGGUGCGAAAGCGUGGGGAGCAAACAGGAUUUAGAUACCCCUGGUAGUCCACGCCGUAAACGAUGUCCGACUUGGAGGUUGUGCCCUUGAGGCGUGGCUUCCCGGAGCUAACGCGUUAAGUCGACCGCCUGGGGAGUACGGCCGCAAGGUUAAAACUCAAAUGAAUUGACGGGGGCCCGCACAAGCGGUGGAGCAUGUGGUUUAAUUCGAUGCAACGCGAAGAACCUUACCUGGUCUUGACAUCCACAGAACUUUCCAGAGAUGGAUUGGUGCCUUCGGGAACUGUGAGACAGGUGCUGCAUGGCUGUCGUCAGCUCGUGUUGUGAAAUGUUGGGUUAAGUCCCGCAACGAGCGCAACCCUUAUCCUUUGUUGCCAGCGGUCCGGCCGGGAACUCAAAGGAGACUGCCAGUGAUAAACUGGAGGAAGGUGGGGAUGACGUCAAGUCAUCAUGGCCCUUACGACCAGGGCUACACACGUGCUACAAUGGCGCAUACAAAGAGAAGCGACCUCGCGAGAGCAAGCGGACCUCAUAAAGUGCGUCGUAGUCCGGAUUGGAGUCUGCAACUCGACUCCAUGAAGUCGGAAUCGCUAGUAAUCGUGGAUCAGAAUGCCACGGUGAAUACGUUCCCGGGCCUUGUACACACCGCCCGUCACACCAUGGGAGUGGGUUGCAAAAGAAGU
This 694-nucleotide ribosomal RNA is filed under the name Escherichia coli. RNAcentral's name for it is "bacterial SSU rRNA". It matches the Rfam family "Bacterial small subunit ribosomal RNA", at positions 737 to 1427 of the family's 1533-position model. The record is from RNAcentral. Lineage: Bacteria; Pseudomonadati; Pseudomonadota; Gammaproteobacteria; Enterobacterales; Enterobacteriaceae.